RNAcentral lists this transfer RNA (75 nucleotides) under Candidatus Asgardarchaeum californiense. RNAcentral's name for it is "tRNA-Met". It matches the Rfam family "tRNA". Rfam says of the family: Transfer RNA (tRNA) molecules are approximately 80 nucleotides in length. Lineage: Archaea; Promethearchaeati; Candidatus Asgardarchaeia (ex Tamarit et al. 2024); Candidatus Asgardarchaeales (ex Tamarit et al. 2024); Candidatus Asgardarchaeaceae. The record is from RNAcentral.
UGCGGGAUCGCCAAGUGGUAAGGCACUAGACUCAUAUUCUAGUUAUCGGGGGUUCAAUUCCCCCUCCCGCAACCA